UCUUAUGUUGAUUUCCUUCUUCUUCUUCUGCCUUCUUACGAAUUUUGCUUAGAACAAAGAAGAUAAAGAGAUAGGUUGUUAGAAAGAAGAGAGACACAAAGACAAUGUCUGAUUAUUUUCUAAAGAAGC
Molecule: small RNA, 129 nt
Filed under: Arabidopsis thaliana (thale cress)
Lineage: Eukaryota; Viridiplantae; Streptophyta; Magnoliopsida; Brassicales; Brassicaceae
Description: ATSL009910
Source: RNAcentral